Lagopus muta (rock ptarmigan) is the source of this 7425-nucleotide RNA transcript. RefSeq lists it as uncharacterized. NCBI's taxonomy places the organism in Eukaryota, Metazoa, Chordata, Aves, Galliformes, Phasianidae. The transcript is spliced from 7 exons. The record is from RefSeq and is a predicted model, not a curated record.
CAGAUCAGACACAAGAGCAGAACUGUGUUUGCAUUUGCUUUCCCUACCAUCACUCUGUGGUGAUGCAUAGCCCUGGGGUGAUGAUGGAAGGGAAAGUGUUAACUGCCUCCCUCUGGCACAGGCAAUCUGUUGACCCCACUGGGAUUUGCUGGCCACCUGAGGCCAUGUAUUUAUUGUAGGGUGGGGGCUAAAGGCUGAUUUGGGUGUUGGUCACCUGUGGGUGGGGUGUUGGGACUGGGAGCAGCGUGAGCUCUGCUCCUCCCCGGGCUGGGACCUGGCUUUGUGCUGGAGGAGCUCUAUCUGAUUUGCUUUGUUUCCCUAGAGCUGUGCUUUAUCGCUUCAUUUUUCUACUUAGCUUUCUCCAGCCAGAUUUCUUGGUGGAUGAGCGGUGCCUGGAUACGUCUCCAGAGAUUGUGUUCAGAUGGUGCCAAUGGAGGGAUGGGGAUGAUGUGUGUCCUGGCCAACUUCAGGUGGAUGAGCUCCCAGCCUGCUUCCUGGGGAUGCCUGGGAGAACAGACAGCAAGUUCAGUGUCAUCGCUGCAUGGACUGCAUGGAGCUGCCCUGAGUGCUGCCCAACAUGUACGGCUGUCACCCUUGCUGCAGGCAUCAGCCCAGGUGCAUAAAUCCCAUGGAGAGAGGCCGGUAAUUCCUGUUUGCAGGAUGCAGUUCUCCCUGUUGCGAUUUGUGCCACCACGGAAAAGCCCAAGCUCCCCUUUUGAAGCCCUGGGAACACGGAGGUGUGGCCCUGAGCAGAGGAGCUGGACAGGAACACUUCUCUCACAUCGUCCUUGGUGAGGGGAUGACAUUUAGUUGCUGCCAUUGUUCCCAGGCACGAGGCUGCACCAGCAUCACCAGUAUUAGUAGCUUUCUCCCAUCCCUCUUUCCUUCUCCAGUCCCUUCUUUUUGUAUGCAGGCCUCUCGUGUAUCCCCUUUGCUCUGUGCCUUUGCAGACAUUGGGCAGGCAGCGUUCCUCCUGGUGCACAGCGACCGUCCCCUCCUCCCAGCCUGGGGUUGUGUGCGAUGGAGUCUGGGUGCCAUCCCUCACCCACAGCCCUCCUCCAGCCGCAGAAACGAGGAGCAGAGUCUGACUAUUGUUAUGUUUGAGUAAAUUAACAGUUACAGCAUUUUGCAGAGCUCUGCACAAUCGCAGGGCAGGAGCAGUGCCUGUUUCCAGCUGCUUGACACGAACCUUGCUGAACAAAACUGCUGUCAGAGCCUGGUGCCCACCCAGAGCCAUGAGACAGAUGUGUGUGAGCGGAAGAUUCCAUAUUAGAGCUGACGUUGAUCCAAUUGGAGGUGUCUCUUCUGCUACAGCAGACAAGAUUGCCAACCAAGAGCUACGAGUGAUAUUGUUCUGGGCUCCAAGGAUGCUGUGCGUCUCUUCUCCCUCAUUUCACAGAGGAUGAGGUCCCAGCCAGCACUGCCGCUGAGGUGCAGAGUGGCGCUGGAUGAGGUGAGGGUACCCAAAGCUGCUUUUGAAGGAGGGGGCACUGUGAAAAGUGUGUGAGGCUGUGAUGAUGCUCUGCAGGGUGCUGAGGACCCUUCUCUGCCGCACUGAUAAUGCUACCUGGAGGCACAAAGGACUCCUUGGGGCAAAGCCCUUCUGCAGCCUGCACUCCCUCACAGGACACAGCUGCACAGCUUCUCACCACAAGCAGCAGGAUCCAUUCCAGCCAUGACAUAGCUUUGGUUUCCCUGGCCUCUGUGGCUUGCAUCUCAUGUGGACCACUGCUCUCCCAGCCAGCUGCUCGUCUGCUGCCAUUGCCCUGCCCACAUGUGCUGCGAGCAGAGCAGGACCCCGGUGCCGGCCUCUCUGCACACUCUGCCCAGCCCCACGGCGAUGCCCAGAGCAGGUUUCCUACAGCUCAGCACAAUCAUGGGUAUGCACAGGGAGCACUCCCAUCCAUCUGCUGAACUCUUUGGGAAAAAUAUAAAGAAGCCAAACAAUGAGUGAGUACAAAAGCAUAUGUGAAGAAUUGGCAAGGAGUGUUCCCUGACUCACAGCAUCCAUGCUUCUGCAUGUCUGCUCCACGCACAGAUCGUUGCCUCUCCUUGCCUUUGCUUUAAUUAGUAAGGGCUGAGCACACUCUGGGAACAUGCUGGAAGAGGAGUGAUGAACAAAACAGCAGCUCCAGAGGAACGCAUGCACUGAGGAGUUUAAGAUGGAAAAAGGGGCCGGUCUGCAUUCUGUGGUUGUGUGUGCAUUGCGGAUGGACGAGGGCAGUGCUGGGGGCAGGCAACUUCCACCCGUGGGUGCCUGUACACACCGUGGGAAACAAUUCCUGGCCAUGGAGCUGCAGUGCUGGGCCUGCUGCACGGUGGCUGCUACAGCCUGCAAGCACAGGGGCUCCUGGAGCAGGCAGAGGUACAGCCAGGCAGGGCUGUCCUCACUAAUUACCUGUGCCAGGUGCAUUCCUGAAAGCAUUAUUUCUCCAAGUGGUAUUUAGCUCAUGCUCUUCUGGUGCUGGAUUAGGGGUCUGGACAGUCUCUCCUACGGCCUUGGCCAAGGCUGUGCUCAGAUACUUCCAGCGACACGCUGCUGCUCCCUCCAGCAGCAGCUGAGAAGUGACCCGCUCCCAUUAGCACUGCUCUGUGCAGCUCCACCCAGGUGCCCCGACCAGGUCAUUACCUUCCCUGGAGAUGCACAAUUCCUCCCCUUCAUCCCACCACGGAUCCACGCAGACCAUCUGUUUGUGGUCUCUUUGGCCGUACUAGAGCUUGGCUCUGUUAGACUAUCUCCAUUCUUUGCAGCCUCCCUGAAGAAGCCACAGACUUUCUCAGCAGCGCUCCAAGAAUGCAGCCUAGUGGCCUCGCCGUGCGCCCCAGCUCAUGCUGCGCUGUCACAGCUCCCAGGUGACAAACGAGCGUGCAGGGAAUGGGAAGGCUUCCAUGGGCAGCACGAGCCCCUCCUCAUCCCCCUUCAGGAGCAAGAUCAGGGCAGUGAUAACGGCUUUGUUUUAAAGGAAGAAGAGGAAGGAAAAUGGAAGUGAUGUCUACAACAACAGGAGUUGCCUCACCCAGUAUCCCAAGGACCUUGGCUGCCAAACCUGCAUGGAUAUAAACGGCUCAAACAAUGCACAGCCCUAUCUGGGGACUGCAGGAACCCCUCUUUCCUCGCAGGAUCAGAUAUGGUGUUGGCACGGAUGGCACUCCGGCCAUUGUCCCACAGCCACCGGCCGGCAGUGCCUCUCCAGCUCAGUGCUGGUGGCCUGGAGUGGCAGAAUCGCAGGAAAUCAGACCAGGUCAUAUCCCCCAUUAAAUGCAUCACGCCGCAGGGCAAUAUUUUUUCCCCAGUUGUUCUCGGUGGCUCUUUCUGGACACGAGGAGCAGUGUGACACACAAAGAACUGGCUUCCCAAAAUAACUCAGCGCGCAGUCACUGCUGGGCUGAUUCUUGGGCUACUCACGGCCACAUCCUCCCUCUGACCAAGGCCAAACGCAGCCGGCCGAAAAGCAUCCGGUGGGGCUGGGAGUGCUCCUGGGGCUGGGAGGGCAGCAUCCCGCAGUACUGGCUGACAGGGUCAGCACCUGCUGUGUUCUCCUUGUCCUGUGGUGAGCAGAGCAGGGAAAGCCCCUCUACUGCACCCCUCCUAACGCACCUGCACCAUUCAGUGCAGCUGCUGCUCCCUGCACGCGCUGCCCUCACCCUGCAGGGCCGUUUCUCCCCAUCUCCCAGCCAGCAGCAUGACCCAGCAGCCUUCUGCCUUUAAGAUAUUACCCUUAAUUAAUUUGUCUGUACCGAUACUCCUGCUAAUACUAUUAUUUGUAAUACCUCAGUGCAUCCCCGGGGAAGGGCACGAGUCUUAAUUAACAUCUGUAAAGCUGCCUGAGCACCAUUCCUGGAAAACGUGAGGCAGGGAAGGUGACUGUCGUACCACGAUGGUUUUAAAUUCUUUUUUCUUCCCCUUUUUUUUUCAGACCUCUUCAGCAGACUCCCAGAACUCUGUCUACCCAGGCUCAUUUACCAGCGUUAUCUGUGCCAGCGCAGAGCCCAUUGCCCCCUGCCCCUCUCCACAGCACAGCCCCACUGCCCUAUAGAGCAGACAGGACCCAGCAAUGCUCAUGGACUUUUUCAGCACAGCUCUCACCCCUGUCUGCAUGCACACACACACAAGAACACUCCCUCAGUGGAUACACGGAAGUUGUCCUGCAAUGCUUUGCAGCCCCCCAGCAAUAUGCAGGACCACAUUCCUGCCCACUUAGCAGCAACCCAGGGGCUGCCCAGUGCGCUCACCUCGCCGUGCGGUGCCUGAGGCCCCACUGCUGCUGUGCUGAAGCUGCUCCGCCAAAUCUCCCACAUCUUGGCCGAGCUGAGCUCCCAGGCCAGCCAGAUUUCUUAUGCUUAGCAAAAAUAUUCAUUAACGACUUAAUCUGCACACACACAGGGGAAGCUUUUAGUGUAUUUGUUCUAGGUCCGUGAAACAGUGAUCUGGCCACUGCUUUAAACUCUGCCUUGAUCUGUGAUCUCAGAGAUGAAGAAUUCAGCAAAAUGCUGCUGGGGGAGAUGUCCCGAAGCAUCCCCUGUGCUCACACUGCAGCGUAACCGCGGACACGCACCGCUCGACCCAGAAAGCGCGUGUUGCAAGAAUGUGCUUUGAGCCACAGCUCAUGGCCAAGGCCAUGGGACCAGCUGUGCUCUUGGUGUUUGUUUGCCAGCUUUGGGAUUUGUGUCACAAACUCCAUGUCAUUUGUGUCCCAGCUGCUGAAAGCACGGAGGAAGCAGAUGAAAGCCUUUCGCAUCUGCUCCCUGGGAGUGUCGGAGUUCCCCACAUGCCACCUUUAAAGCAGUUAAAAUGGCUUUGGGUCUGAGGGCUCUGGGGUCAUCAGCACUGUGGAGUCCUACACUGGGGAAGGAUUUGGCAGAAUGCAGAGGGUGAGACUCUUGGCCCUGGCUUACAUGGAGGGAGAGUGGGAUGGGAGCACAUGAGCCCAUGUCAAGGCACUGCGCUGAUGCCACAGGGGCAGAUGGCUCUGACUGCAGCACCCAGCCAUGUGGGUGCUUUGUGGCUGCCAUGUGAGCACAGCCAGGGCUCAGAAACAUCCUGCUUCUCAAGGUAUGUGCUGAGAGAGCUGAGAUGCUCCUGUGGGACAGCACGGAACCCACGGACUGAAAUAAGGCAGUGACAAUUGAUGUCCCCCUUCCCGCUCCCUCCACAGACUGUUAUGUCUGAUGCUAACCUGUUACAGCUGAUAACAGUCGCAAAUGCUGCUGCUGCUUUCAUAAAAAUUCGUGGGAUGCCAGAUUAUUUCCACGCGCAAUGGAAACCCUGGGGCCGUGUCGCAUGGCCUUCUGCCCAAACAUCUCCACCACAGCCACUGUGGAAAUGGGGCUGGGAAUGCCUUGAGGCUGGGGCUGCCCAAAGUACUGACCGCUGGCUGAGGACGGAGGGACAGAUGGACACACAGCUCCUAUAGGAGAUUCUAAGCACCGGGGGAACUCCAUGGACACGUCCCGAUGGAAGCUGAGUUCCUCAGUCCCAUGGGAACAUCCGGAGCGUGUUCCAGCCAACAGCCCCUGUGCCCUGAGCAGGAUGUGCUCCCACGGAGCAGCGCAGGGAGGGCGCGGGGAGAGCAGUUGGCAGGAGCGCAGCUGCGGCUCGGUGUGAGUUUCUGGGGGGAUUUUUAUAGGGGGAAGGCUGAUGAGUAAUAAACAAGGUGCUGCCUGAUUCUUGUUUGGAGGAAAAAGGGGAGGGAGAGAGGGGCUGAGGGGAAGAGAGAAGCACAGGGAAGAGGAGAAGGAGAAAGAAAUGACCUUGGUGAGCUUUUCUGGCUGCUCUCCAGGUAGCAGACUGAUGCCAAAAAAAUCUCCGAGUCCCUUUUGGCUGGAAGUACGCUCCCUGCGUUAGGUGAAUCACACACACAUUUCUGGAACAUUACAUGUUCACAGUUGCAAAGCUCACAGUAAUUAGAAAAACUACAAGACCAAGGCAGGGGGAAAACUAUGAGUCACACAUGGAAGCAGUGUUAUUGUGCUGCAGGAGGAUCAGCUUUGCAGACUGCCGAAGGUAAGCGUGCAUCGGCUGCACCCUGCCCUGCCUGGGGUGUGCAGGGCUGUGUGUGCACAGAGAGGCUGAGCUGCACCUGGGUGGGGUGUGAGGUUCACAUGGAAUGGCUCUGGACAAUGGAUUGCUGCUGAGGCUCUUAACUUUCUGCAGGGAUGUUCUCACCCACAGUCAGAGCGCUGCCCACAUUGAGCAUCAUCCACAUCCAACCUUGAAUUUCACCAUUCCAAAAUAAGCUCUUCUUACUGCAGAUGGAGAGCUGUAAUGCCAGGAUCUGCUCACAAGGAGUUAUUUCAGUGCAGCACCCUGCACUGGUGGGUCCACAGCUGCCGCCAGGCUACGUGUGACCAGGAGCCCACUCUCUGGCACAUACCUGCAGCAGGGGGUGACUGACCAACAGCCCACUGCUGCUCUGCAUUGAGUUGGUGUGAGAGCCCCCAGCAGCCCCCUGCAUUCAAGGGGGUUUCAUAAAUCACACAGACAGUGUUGUUUCAAAUGAACCGAUGGAUGGAGCUUUUAUCCCUUUCUUUGCAUGACCCUUCUGCUGGUAUUCAUUAACAGCACAAAGGGUGCUUUAACCUAGGAGCAAACCUGGCUCUUCUCUGUUUAGUUAACUCUCCUCCUGAGUCCUCCCAUUUGGCACAGGCAGAGCCAUGCUCCUUGUUUGUUCACUGCCUUGUGUUGAAUUACUCUGCAUCACGUUGCAUUCUGUUGUGUACUGCACUGCACUGCCUUGCAUCGUGUCGCAUCGUGUCACAUUGCAUCAGAUCAUACUGCAUGGCAUCCUGUUGCCUUGCAUGGCCUGGCAGCAUUUGCAUUACAUCACAAUAUGCACCUUUGCACCUUUGGGUGAGCUCUCAGCUGUGUCGCUGCCUGGUUCCUGAGCAGCAUGAGCUCCCGCCAGCCCAGACGCAGUGCUCCCAGAUCAGCCUUGUCCAGCAGCUAUGGGCAGAGAGGGCUGCCAGCGGUCAGUGGAGCCUCCAUUCAGGGAAGGCCAAGGAGUGGAUUACGCAGCAGAUGAUGAAGCGAUGCUAUGGACAAACCGCCCAAACACGAAAUCUUCCUGCAAUACUCCAAGACAGAUUGUUACACAUCUCUGCCAAGAAAUCAAACAUUCCUGCUAGAGUCAGGGCUUUCACAGAAGCCCCCUCCGAGACAUCAAGCGAGGCUAAGACAACAGUCCAGAGCUUUGCUAGCAAAUCAUGAGUCCCGAGUGUCUCUCCAGCUGGCAGGACCAUCACUGACCUGAAUGGCCUUGUCCUCCCCGAAGCAGCUCUGUCAAUUUGGCCACAAUCCACUUAAUAAUGUAGCUAGAGUAUAAAGAUGUAUCCAGGCCCAACCACAAAACAGCUGGAGUCUGUAGGGUUGACUUAAUCCUGGUAGAAUAAAACAGGGAAACUAGUGGGAGUCAGUGAGGAUGUUGC